AACGAACGCUGGCGGCGCGCCUAAUACAUGCAAGUCGAGCGAGAAGACGUAGCAAUACGUUUGUAAAGCGGCGAACGGGUGAGGAAUACAUGGGUAACCUACCCUCGAGUGGGGAAUAACUAGCCGAAAGGUUAGCUAAUACCGCGUACGCUCCUUGGACUUCGGUUCAGGGAGGAAAGCGAUACCGUGGGUAUCGCGCUCUUGGAUGGGCUCAUGUCCUAUCAGCUUGUUGGUGAGGAACGGCUCACCAAGGCUUCGACGGGUAGCUGGUCUGAGAGGACGAUCAGCCACACUGGCACUGCGACACGGGCCAGACUCCUACGGGAGGCAGCAGUGGGGAAUCUUGCGCAAUGGGCGAAAGCCUGACGCAGCGACGCCGCGUGAGGGAUGACGGCC
This 396-nucleotide ribosomal RNA is filed under the name uncultured bacterium. RNAcentral describes it as "bacterial SSU rRNA". It matches the Rfam family "Bacterial small subunit ribosomal RNA", at positions 29 to 416 of the family's 1533-position model. The record is from RNAcentral.